UGGUUGUCGUGGUGAUCGUGUCAUCAGCGGCUGCUCUGAUAUUCUGCUGGAAGAGAAAACACAGAGAACCUCCUGUGGAACCUGAAUAUGUUAAUGCUAUAGAGCUCAACAGAUUGUCUGAGAACAGAGAGGAGGAGAGACGGAGCAGAUCUCCUGCUGCACAAAUAUCUACAGUUUACACUUUUUAGCAGCUUUCCUGCAGCAAGUUCUCAGCAGAAAGUAGGUAAAAACUGUGGUGGGAUUUCAGUUCAGAAAUCUUUACACUUCAUCUACUAAAAAUAACUUGACUAAUAGGGGAGUAACAAUAGAUAGAAGACCAUUGAACCAGUACUGAACCAUCCAUCCAUCCAUUUUUAUCCUCUUAUCUGUGGGCCGGGUCAAAAUCUUAUGGUUAAAGACUUUUAAAAAUGUAUUUAACAUUUAUUUAUACAGGUCAUUUCGUUGAGGCAUGGGGUCUCAUUUUCAAGAGAAACUUGUCGAGAACAAACAGAAAUACGGCAUAAAGUGAAGACAGAACAGGACAUUUAUACAGAGGACACGGGUCCUGAAAUGAUCAUUUCUAAGAAUUUUAAAACUAUAGACAAGAACAAACCCCUGCAGACAUUUUCUACAGAUUUGUUUCAUGUCUUUUGUUCUUAUUGCUGUUUUGAAUCAAUAUGAUAAUGUGUUGUGUUGAAAUGUUUUUGCUGUGG
Molecule: long non-coding RNA, 692 nt
Organism: Centropristis striata (black sea bass)
Lineage: Eukaryota; Metazoa; Chordata; Actinopteri; Perciformes; Serranidae
Exons: 3
Source: RefSeq, a predicted model, not a curated record